Molecule: ribosomal RNA, 111 nt
Filed under: Fusobacterium varium
Lineage: Bacteria; Fusobacteriati; Fusobacteriota; Fusobacteriia; Fusobacteriales; Fusobacteriaceae
Description: partial 16S ribosomal RNA
Rfam family: Bacterial small subunit ribosomal RNA
Source: RNAcentral
GAAGUAACAGGCCUAACCGUAAGGAGGGAUGUUCCGAUGGUGUGAUUAGCGAUUGGGGUGAAGUCGUAACAAGGUAUCCGUACGGGAACGUGCGGAUGGAUCACCUCCUUU